UCCUGCAUAGCUCAGCUGGUUAGAGGGUGGAGCUGAUAACGCCAAGGCUGCAGGUUCGAUCCCCUGUAGAGGAC
This is a non-coding RNA of Podarcis lilfordi (Lilford's wall lizard), 74 nucleotides long. The record is from the annotation of a GenBank genome assembly. NCBI's taxonomy places the organism in Eukaryota, Metazoa, Chordata, Lepidosauria, Squamata, Lacertidae.